GCAAACUUGGUCAUUUAGAGGAAGUAAAAGUCGUAACAAGGUUUCCGUAGGUGAGUAAUAUCAAUAUUAUCCCCUCCGGUUCCUCGUCCAGUAUAUGCUAACAUUUUCUUUUAGGUGAACCUGCGGAAGGAUCAUUAUCGAGUGAGGGUCUACUAGGCCCAACCUCCCAACCCUUUGUUUACUGAACCAUUGUUGCUUCGGCGGGCCCGUCUCACGGCCGCCGGAGGGGCGCUGAAAGGCGUGUCCUCUGGCCCGCGUCCGCCGAUGGCCAACCACAAAAACUCUGCAUGAACCAUGUCUUAUGUCUAAGUCCACGAUUAAAUAAAGCAAAACUUUCAACAACGGAUCUCUUGGUUCUGGCAUCGAUGAAGAACGCAGC
Molecule: unclassified non-coding RNA, 379 nt
Filed under: uncultured fungus
Lineage: Eukaryota; Fungi
Description: partial contains small subunit ribosomal RNA, internal transcribed spacer 1, and 5.8S ribosomal RNA
Rfam family: Eukaryotic small subunit ribosomal RNA (bases 1-137)
Source: RNAcentral